UUCAUGUCGGUCGUCUGAUCAGCCACAUCGAUACACUUGGCGGGACUAGCCUGUCAUGUGCGCGCAUUUGCGACACUGUUGCCUUUACUCUGUACACGGCGUCUGUGCAGUGGAGCCUCUGUGCGCACCCGCCCCUCACACACAAAAAGUGACGGAGCGUGUCGUGGCUUCAUUUUUGGUCUGGUGUGUGUCUAACUUCUCUCGCCCUGACGUUGUUUUCCUUUUGUCGACGGGUACACCAUCAUUCUUCUCCCUGUUUAUCUUCUCAAAAUCUUCUCGUGCCUGCUUCGUUCUUUUCCUCAGUCUCGCGGCCGCCUUUCUCUAGCGGCGGUUCAGUCGGCGUUAUGUGUGUGUGUGACUCGGUUCUCUUAUGCGUCUGCUUCUCUCCGUCCUCUUUUUUUUUCCUCUCUCUCUCCCUCUCUGUCGGUAUCUAGUGUGCUCUCCUGUGCUUCCCUCUCCCCAAACAAGGGUUGCUUACAUCCCUGUUGCACUCCGUAACGCAGCUGCUUGAACGGCUGCUCGCUCUUCAAAGGGAGCGCAAGUAAGAGAGAAAGAAGGCAAGAUCUGCGGUUUCAUGAAUGCCCAAGUUAUAUGCCCCUCCACCCAGCCACAUUUAUGUUGAGCGCAGCAAGUUGCGAUGCCCGUCUUCCCACGCUUGUUUACGCCAGAGCGCGCCGCUACUAACGCAACCGCUGGCGGGUGCAUGGCUCAUCACAGGCGAACUCUUCCAGAACCACCCACCUUACGCUCCUCGUCGAAUAGCACGCGUGAGCUUUUGCAGCCGCGGCAAGCGCCAUCGCAGGUGCACACACCAGCACAUCCGCCCGCCCCCACGCCUGUAGCAGAGCCGUCAUCGUUGCGGCACAUUGGCAGCAUGCAGCCAAGAGAGUCGAACCGCUCCGCCUCAACAGCGAUGUCCUUGGAGUUCUCGGGCAGCCGGGCUAGCGGCGAAAAUGGCCCCCAGCGCCAGCAGCGCUGCUUGGUGUCUGGCCGAUUGCCUGCAGCUGUGCAGCUCGGUGAGCCCGAGGCCCAUGUGCUGGCGCGCUCUCCGCAGCGUCGGCCCAGUUUGCCGAGCGCUGAAGUAGUCGUCGCGGCUUCUGGUGACGCUGUGAAUGAAGAGGACAGUGUCGCUCUUGGGCCAGAACGCAGCCUGCACUCGAGUGAGCUUCAAGAGGCAAGAGAGAACCGUCGAUUCAUGAACUUACAUCGCCGUGCUCGGCGCCAGCGCGGUCGUCAAGGGAGCUCCAGUACCAACUGUCUUCCCACAACGCCGCGGCACACCGAGUCAGGCACACCCUCCAACGCUCAAGAGGGACCCCAGCAUCACCGUCGCGAGCAUCUUCACCACACCCCCUUCACUUUGCUGCCGCGCUAUUCUGGCCUGACACCGCAAAGUUUCACCACAACAAAUGGUGCUGAAGUGCGGUGCGGAGGUCACAGAGGUCGCAUCCUGGACAGCUCGUCUCUCGUAUUGCCGCAAGCCCACCGAGAGCGGGCAGGAAGUGUGCCGUCCAGGUCGGUGCGCUCCGGCCAAAGCCCCAGGAUAGUGCAUGCUGGUGCUCCUUCAAGCACCACAAUACCCAAUACAGCACAAUCGGUGGUGGGGGGUGCUCGUGCGGUGGCGCUCAGUGAAGCAGCGGGCUCCAUCGCCCAAUCAGGCGACGUCGAAGGCCCCCGAGCAGACAUCAUCAUUUUGGUCUCUUCUCAGGGAAUCCAGCUCACCACGUCCAAAGACGCCCUCCGCCGUGAAGCUCGCCGCUCGGCAUCGCUCAUGUCCGUGCGUAAUGCGCGUUGCGCAAUCCUGCACUCCGAUCAAGUUCUGGAAGCGGGGGAGGCGGCGGCUUCAAGCACAUCACGAGUUGCCACUACAGCAUCGCACACAUCAACUCAUGACAGCGUCUCUACACGGCGAGAGAGGCGUGCAGAUGCGCUCCAUUGCGAGGAAGAGGGCCCGUUGGAAGUCACUCAGAGUUCAUGCUGUGCAGCCGCAGCUCCGUGGCGGCUGCCCGUGCUGACGACGAUGAGCGAAGGAAAUGCAACGCAGCCCACACGUCGCCACUACCCCCCGUCUCUCUCGUCUACCAG
RNAcentral lists this unclassified non-coding RNA (2085 nucleotides) under Leishmania donovani. RNAcentral's name for it is "gene:unknown". The record is from RNAcentral. Lineage: Eukaryota; Euglenozoa; Kinetoplastea; Trypanosomatida; Trypanosomatidae.